GGAACCUGCAGGGCGAACAGUUUCCUGAUCCUCGGUGGUGGGAGGGUCCGUCCGGUCCGGUCCGGCUGGAUGGAAAACAGCUCAAAAACAAGAGCGAGACUCCCUGUGGAUCAAUUCCUGAACUUUUCUGUUAAAGCUGUUAGUGGAGUCUGGCAGAGACAUCUCGCUGCCGAACACUUCCCGGUAGAGCGGCGGGAAACUGUAGGCAGUCUCUGGGUGAACCAAACGGAAAAACUCCAGCUUGUCGAUGUGGAGUUUACAGAUGGACUUCAUUGUCGGGAGCUUGGACAUCAUCUAUGGGAACAAGAGACAUCAAAAGAUGAUCCUGUCAGCGACGGCCCACCUGCAAACGCACAUGGUGAUGCACGUCUGUCGGCACGACGCUUCCCAGAGUCAUCCCCCCUCCCUCCGCUGCAUAAUGCCGGCCGACAUAACUGGGUCAGUGGAACAGCCAGCGCGUUCUCCCUCUGAACAGUCACGCAGUCGGCCAUGCUGGCACAGCAUCACACCACAACAACACCACAAUCCUCACAUUGAACUUCACCUUUUCAAUUAAGCAGAAAAAAGUCUAUUAAAAUGGUUAAUUGUGCGUUUAUUAAGGAUUUUGAUCUAAAAAAUUAACAUUUUACGCACAAUAAUUUUAUAAUUAAUUAUAAUUUGUCAUGAACAUGCACAGUUAGAAGGAAAAUAAAUCAGAUUUUGAUUUUGUUUUUAAAAAAAAUAAGAUCUUGUAACCUAUCUAUUACAUAAUUGCAGUUUUGGUUAACAACAACAAGCGCUCAAGCCCCUCCCUCUUCUCAUUGCAUAACUCUUAUGGAUCCCUUGGCAACAUUCACAGCCCUCUCAGGUGGACUAUGACUCACAAUUUUUUUAUUUUUAUUCUUUAAUAACCUCAAAAUGGCACCGUGUGAAUUCAAACCCCCCAAAUCCCGCACAAUUUUAGGCAACGAUUUAUAGUCUGAUUUUGAUCUAAAUUAUUCAUAUUUUUAAUUUAUUUGAAAUAAAGAUAAAAAAAUGGAGGAAUUAAAAUGUCUUUUCAUGAGAUCUGCGUGUUUCCAGCCCUUUCUGACAG
This is a long non-coding RNA of Oryzias melastigma (Indian medaka), 1072 nucleotides long. RefSeq lists it as uncharacterized. The record is from RefSeq and is a predicted model, not a curated record. NCBI's taxonomy places the organism in Eukaryota, Metazoa, Chordata, Actinopteri, Beloniformes, Adrianichthyidae. The transcript has 3 exons.